AGGAUGAACGCUGGCGGUAUGCUUUACACAUGCAAGUCGUACGGGAGUUUUUAACUCAAGUGGCGGACGGGUGAGUAACACGUAAGAAUUUGCCUUUAGGAGGGGGACAACAACUGGAAACGGUUGCUAAUACCCCAUAUGCUUUCUAGUGAAAUGGAUUUAUCCGCCUAAAGAGAAGCUUGCGGCUGAUUAGCUUGUUGGUAAGGUAAUGGCUUACCAAGGCGACGAUCAGUAUCUGGUUUGAGAGGACGAUCAGACACACUGGAACUGAGACACGGUCCAGACUCCUACGGGAGGCAGCAGUGGGGAAUUUUCCGCAAUGGGCGAAAGCCUGACGGAGCAAUACCGCGUGAGGGAUGACGGCCUAUGGGUUGUAAACCUCUUUUUUUCAGGGAGGAAUCAAUGACGUGUACCUGAAGAAUAAGCAUCGGCUAACUCCGUGCCAGCAGCCGC
RNAcentral lists this ribosomal RNA (453 nucleotides) under uncultured bacterium. RNAcentral's name for it is "SSU rRNA". It matches the Rfam family "Bacterial small subunit ribosomal RNA", at positions 26 to 518 of the family's 1533-position model. The record is from RNAcentral.